AGCUUUGUGCAGUGGCAAUACUGUAGCAAAUGAGGUUUAUCUGAGGUGUGAUUAUUGCUAAUUAAUAAUACCAUGAGUAUGGAGUCUUAAGGCGUAAAAUAUCCACUUUAUGUCUUCAAAUAAAAAGA
Oryctolagus cuniculus (rabbit) is the source of this 128-nucleotide small nuclear RNA. Its record names the gene U4. It matches the Rfam family "U4 spliceosomal RNA". Rfam says of the family: U4 small nuclear RNA (U4 snRNA) is a component of the major U2-dependent spliceosome. The record is from Ensembl. NCBI's taxonomy places the organism in Eukaryota, Metazoa, Chordata, Mammalia, Lagomorpha, Leporidae.